UACGAACUGUGCAAACGUUAUUCGGAAUCACUGGGCUUACAGGGUGCGUAGGCGGUCUGUUAAGUAGGGUGUGAAAGCCCCCGGCUCAACCGGGGAAUUGCGCCCUAAACUGGCGGACUGGAGUGAGAUAGGGGUGUGCGGAACUUCCGGUGGAGCGGUGAAAUGUGUUGAUAUCGGAAGGAACGCCGGUGGCGAAAGCGGCACACUGGAUCUCAACAGACGCUGAGGCACGAAAGCCAGGGGAGCGAACGGG
This 253-nucleotide ribosomal RNA is filed under the name uncultured bacterium. RNAcentral describes it as "partial 16S ribosomal RNA". It matches the Rfam family "Bacterial small subunit ribosomal RNA", at positions 524 to 776 of the family's 1533-position model. The record is from RNAcentral.